AUUGAACGCUGGCGGAAUGCUUUACACAUGCAAGUCGAACGGCAGCACGGGGCAACCUGGUGGCGAGUGGCGAACGGGUGAGUAAUACAUCGGAACGUGCCCAAUCGUGGGGGAUAACGUAGCGAAAGUUACGCUAAUACCGCAUACGAUCUACGGAUGAAAGCGGGGGAUCGCAAGACCUCGCGCGAUUGGAGCGGCCGAUGUCAGAUUAGGUAGUUGGUGGGGUAAAGGCUCACCAAGCCGACGAUCUGUAGCUGGUCUGAGAGGACGACCAGCCACACUGGGACUGAGACACGGCCCAGACUCCUACGGGAGGCAGCAGUGGGGAAUUCUGGACAAUGGGCGCAGGCCUGAUCCAGCCAUUCCGCGUGCAGGAUGAAGGCCUUCGGUUGUAAACUGCUUUUGUACGGAACGAAACGGUUCUCUCUAAUACAGGGGGCUAAUGACGGUACCGUAAGAAUAAGCACCGGCUAACUACGUGCCAGCAGCCGCGGUAAU
This 498-nucleotide ribosomal RNA is filed under the name uncultured bacterium. RNAcentral's name for it is "bacterial SSU rRNA". It matches the Rfam family "Bacterial small subunit ribosomal RNA", at positions 30 to 524 of the family's 1533-position model. The record is from RNAcentral.